Molecule: ribosomal RNA, 104 nt
Filed under: uncultured Methanolobus sp.
Lineage: Archaea; Methanobacteriati; Methanobacteriota; Methanomicrobia; Methanosarcinales; Methanosarcinaceae
Description: partial 16S ribosomal RNA
Rfam family: Archaeal small subunit ribosomal RNA
Source: RNAcentral
GCGCGAAAACUUUACAAUGCGGGAAACCGCGAUAAGGGGAUACUGAGUGCCAGCAUAUUAUGUUGGCUGUCCACCUGUAUAAACAGCAUGUGUAGCAAGGCCGG